This 690-nucleotide ribosomal RNA is filed under the name Bacillus subtilis. Its description in RNAcentral is "bacterial SSU rRNA". It matches the Rfam family "Bacterial small subunit ribosomal RNA", at positions 103 to 777 of the family's 1533-position model. Lineage: Bacteria; Bacillati; Bacillota; Bacilli; Caryophanales; Bacillaceae. The record is from RNAcentral.
CGGGUGAGUAACACGUGGGUAACCUGCCUGUAAGACUGGGAUAACUCCGGGAAACCGGGGCUAAUACCGGAUGGUUGUUUGAACCGCAUGGUUCAAACAUAAAAGGUGGCUUCGGCUACCACUUACAGAUGGACCCGCGGCGCAUUAGCUAGUUGGUGAGGUAACGGCUCACCAAGGCAACGAUGCGUAGCCGACCUGAGAGGGUGAUCGGCCACACUGGGACUGAGACACGGCCCAGACUCCUACGGGAGGCAGCAGUAGGGAAUCUUCCGCAAUGGACGAAAGUCUGACGGAGCAACGCCGCGUGAGUGAUGAAGGUUUUCGGAUCGUAAAGCUCUGUUGUUAGGGAAGAACAAGUACCGUUCGAAUAGGGCGGUACCUUGACGGUACCUAACCAGAAAGCCACGGCUAACUACGUGCCAGCAGCCGCGGUAAUACGUAGGUGGCAAGCGUUGUCCGGAAUUAUUGGGCGUAAAGGGCUCGCAGGCGGUUUCUUAAGUCUGAUGUGAAAGCCCCCGGCUCAACCGGGGAGGGUCAUUGGAAACUGGGGAACUUGAGUGCAGAAGAGGAGAGUGGAAUUCCACGUGUAGCGGUGAAAUGCGUAGAGAUGUGGAGGAACACCAGUGGCGAAAGGCGACUCUCUGGUCUGUAACUGACGCUGAGGAGCGAAAGCGUGGGGAGCGAACAGGA